GGUUUCUGCAGUAGCUUGAAGCUCUGGAGUGAUCCCUAUAGGAAAAUUCUUUUGGUGGUAUCUAAAUCCACAAGACUACAAGAGACCUGAUAAACAAGAACCCAUCUCUAACACAAGACACAGUUCCACAAGUGAUAGAGUAGACAAAAGAAAUUGCCUUGCAGCACAGCUCUCUUCUUUCGAUAUCAUUGCUAUUGUUAUUGCUGUAGUGAAAGGUUGGAGUACUGGGAGUGGUGAUUAGCUAGGCUGUGACUUGAGCAAAUUAAGA
This is a long non-coding RNA of Rosa chinensis, 268 nucleotides long. RefSeq lists it as uncharacterized. The record is from RefSeq and is a predicted model, not a curated record. NCBI's taxonomy places the organism in Eukaryota, Viridiplantae, Streptophyta, Magnoliopsida, Rosales, Rosaceae. The transcript has 3 exons.